GAAGAAAUAAGCCUAGGGACGGAUUUUUCCGUUACGGCGACUGAAAGGACUAAGUCUUUGGAUAUGCCUGAUUAGGUCUGAAAGUGCCACAGUGACGUAGUUCUUCUGGAAACAGAAGAAGUGGAACGCGGUAAACCCCUCAAGCUAGCAACCCAAACUUUGGUCGGGGCAUGGAGUGCGUGGAAGCGAACAUAGCACUCUGACUGGAAACAGUAGACAGAUGAUUAUCGAAGGAAAUGGUACCUAGUCAUUUCCGGAACAAAACAUGGCUUAUAGAA
RNAcentral lists this RNase P RNA (278 nucleotides) under Streptococcus sanguinis. RNAcentral describes it as "partial ribonuclease P RNA". It matches the Rfam family "Bacterial RNase P class B", at positions 88 to 365 of the family's 365-position model. Rfam says of the family: Ribonuclease P (RNase P) is a ubiquitous endoribonuclease, found in archaea, bacteria and eukarya as well as chloroplasts and mitochondria. Its best characterised activity is the generation of mature 5'-ends of tRNAs by cleaving the 5'-leader elements of precursor-tRNAs. Lineage: Bacteria; Bacillati; Bacillota; Bacilli; Lactobacillales; Streptococcaceae. The record is from RNAcentral.